Molecule: RNA transcript, 1488 nt
Organism: Athene cunicularia (burrowing owl)
Lineage: Eukaryota; Metazoa; Chordata; Aves; Strigiformes; Strigidae
Gene name: epidermal differentiation-specific protein-like
Exons: 2
Source: RefSeq, a predicted model, not a curated record
GUUGCUCGUUUGCUUUCGCUGGCAGUGCAGCUCCUUCAUUGUUUUGCACAGUUGUUAGCAUUCAUUAGACUGUUGUGUAAUUUCAAAAGUGGGAGAUGGCUAAGGCCAAAUCAGCUUUUAAAGGAAGUCUCUUCUUUUUACUGCUGUGGGUAUUUGGAUGGCUCUGGAACUAACAAAAAUCCCAUUGUUUUCUCCCACUGUAGUAAAGCUGGCUGGCAUGCUAGCCAAUUAACGUGUCUGAAAAUGUAUUACAGAGUAAACGUUAUUGCCACUGCAGCUCUGCCAGAGCCUCCUUGCCCUGCGCUACCAUCCCUGUGGCUGGCCAAAUGGCUACGUAGGUGAGAAGAGGAAAGUGAAUUUUAAAAGAAGCUAAUUAAAUGCCACCUUUGUCACCUGGAUAUCUCACAUCAAAACCCUUUGGAAAACUAGUGUUGUGUAUUAGAUGUGCUUCACAGGUAAGCACAAUGUAGACUGCAGCAAGAAAAACGUUCUACAGCCCACAUGUCACAAAAUACUCCAAUGUGCUUUUAUUAGAUUCAUCUGGCUUCUGGAAAAUAAAGAUAAACAAGAAUCAAAGCUCUAAGUUUUAUCAACAUGCUUGCACUUCAAUGGACUUUUGAACCAGAGCAACGAGGUGGCUGGUUAUAGGGAGACCAAAACCAAAAGAAAAUAAUGAUUUGUGAUUUCUGUAAUAUCUGCCACUUCUCGGUUCUGCUGAUUGGGGUGUUUCCCAAGACUUCUGUGAAAGCUAUAAAUGUAGGCACGUGAGCUGCCUCUCCCAGACAGCAGCACCGGACUGAAGGAAGUGCUGUUGCCUCUCCCCAUCCGAGGAGCUGACAUCCAGGUGAGACUCACGCUUUUUGCAUGAAAACUUCCAGUGGCUUCCUGGGCAGCUGCUGUGAAAUGCAAUUGAAGAGAAGGAGGUUUAAGGGUUGGGAUGAAAGCUGCAACAUGUAUGUGAGGGUCUGAUGUCUGUGUUCGCAGGAACUUACCCCGUCCUUCAGGUGAUCAGAAGACAUCUGCAGGAUAAACACACCUUCCACAGCGAGAGGGUGAAGAGAGCCAUUGCUGCAAAAUUUCAGGAGGUGACAGUGAGAGUAUUUCACCAGUUAAUCUUGGGCAUAGGAUCUUUAUGUUGUGUCAGCACAAUUAACUGGCUUAUUCUUCUUUCUUUUUCUGGAGGCAGAAGGUCAUUAUACUAGUGCUCAAUCAACCAACAAAUUAAAGUUCAGGUAGCCACAGCCUCCAUAAAUUAUUUAAUUAUAGCUGUGAAAAAGUGCUUGAAUAUUUUUAAUCACAUAGUGCAAUUUUUUAAAAUGUCAAUUAUGUUGCUGAGGUCUUGCAAUUUGAGUCUGACUUUUAAUCUUUCUUGGGCAGAUCUGAUCUUCUCCCAUCCCUUCCCAGAAUCAACUAGAGUAACUGCUUCUUUCCCUCAGGCUGUUAUACAGCAAGAAACCCAAACUACUGCAGUCCUACUGAGAUGGGAAA